Molecule: ribosomal RNA, 490 nt
Filed under: uncultured bacterium
Lineage: Bacteria
Description: partial 16S ribosomal RNA
Rfam family: Bacterial small subunit ribosomal RNA
Source: RNAcentral
GAUGAACGCUAGCUCCAGGCUUAACACAUGCAAGUCGCGGGGCAGCAUGGGGGUUGCUUGCAACUCCCGAUGGCGACCGGCGCACGGGUGAGUAACGCGUAUCCAACCUGCCCUUCACCACGGGAUAACCCGGCGAAAGUCGGACUAAUACCGUAUGUUGUCCAUUGACGGCAUCCGAUUUGGACGAAAGGCUUUGCGGUGAAGGAUGGGGAUGCGUCCGAUUAGCCAGACGGCGGGGUAACGGCCCACCGUGGCUACGAUCGGUAGGGGUUCUGAGAGGAAGGUCCCCCACACUGGAACUGAGACACGGUCCAGACCCCUACGGGAGGCAGCAGUGAGGAAUAUUGGUCAAUGGGCGUAAGCCUGAACCAGCCAAGUAGCGUGCAGGAUGACGGCCCUAUGGGUUGUAAACUGCUUUUAUGCGGGGAUAAAGUGGCCCACGUGUGGGCUUUUGCAGGUACCGCAUGAAUAAGGACCGGCUAAUUCCGUG